Molecule: ribosomal RNA, 435 nt
Filed under: uncultured bacterium
Lineage: Bacteria
Description: partial 16S ribosomal RNA
Rfam family: Bacterial small subunit ribosomal RNA
Source: RNAcentral
AGCGAACGCUGGCGGCAGGCUUAACACAUGCAAGUCGAGCGGGCACUUUCGGGUGUCAGCGGCGGACGGGUGAGUAACGCGUGGGAACGUGCCCUCUGGUUCGGAAUAACUCAGGGAAACUUGAGCUAAUACCGGAUACGCCCUUUUGGGGAAAGGCUUGCUGCCGGAGGAUCGGCCCGCGUCUGAUUAGCUAGUUGGUGAGGUAACGGCUCACCAAGGCGACGAUCAGUAGCUGGUCUGAGAGGAUGAUCAGCCACACUGGGACUGAGACACGGCCCAGACUCCUACGGGAGGCGGCAGUGGGGAAUAUUGGACAAUGGGCGCAAGCCUGAUCCAGCCAUGCCGCGUGAGUGAUGAAGGCCUUAGGGUUGUAAAGCUCUUUUAUCCGGGAUGAUAAUGACGGUACCGGAGGAAUAAGCCCCGGCUAACUUCGUG